Molecule: ribosomal RNA, 253 nt
Filed under: uncultured bacterium
Lineage: Bacteria
Description: partial 16S ribosomal RNA
Rfam family: Bacterial small subunit ribosomal RNA
Source: RNAcentral
UACAGGGGGUGCAAACGUUGCUCGGAAUCAUUAGGCGUAAAGCGCACGUAGGCGGUCUGUUAUGUCGGAUGUGAAAGCCCUUGGCUCAACUGAGGAAGUGCAUCCGAAACUGGCAGGCUAGAGUACUAAAGAGGAUCGCGGAAUUCCCGGUGUAGAGGUGAAAUUCGUAGAUAUCGGGAGGAACACCGGUGGCGAAGGCGGCGAUCUGGGUAGAUACUGACGCUGAGGUGCGAAAGCGUGGGGAGCAAACAGG